This 1472-nucleotide long non-coding RNA is filed under the name Zonotrichia albicollis (white-throated sparrow). RNAcentral describes it as "lncRNA (ENSZALG00000000045.1)". The record is from RNAcentral. Lineage: Eukaryota; Metazoa; Chordata; Aves; Passeriformes; Passerellidae.
GGGAAACAAACCCUUUUUGCCCACAGUUCCUGGCUGUGAGGCCCCAUGACUCCAAAGCAGCAUUCCUGGGACAUUCCUGGUGCCAUGGUAUGUGCAGAAUUUCCAACAGAGGCUCAUGGCUCCACAUCUCCUUGUGCUCUCCCUGUGGGACUCUGUUAUUUGGGAGAAGCUCCAAGAUGGAGCAGGAGAUUCAUCAUUACCAUUGGUAAUAAUUUAAUAAUUGGUAUUGGUAUUGCCCAUGGUGAUGUCUGUGCAGCUCCUACAGCCCCAGGUGGGUGUGUGCAGGUGCUGAUGAAGGAAAAGCUGUGCUCCUGUCCCUUCUCAGCAAUAUUUACCAGCUUAGCUGGAAAAACAACAAUUUGAAAAAAGUCUCAUGACCAGCCAGACCAGAGAAAAUCAAAUCCAUACUGUGUUGUCCUUGUGCUCUCCAUGGAAAUUGGGCAGCUCUUCACCACACCUGCUCCCUGGAGUUUCCCUUUAGAAGAGUUUUGUGCUUAGGGAACCUCAUGGUAACCUGGGAGAGAGCUUUGGGGUUUUGUUCCCUACAGGAAAGUCUUGGCUUGCAGACUCAGGUGCUGGGAGCAGCAUCAGGGCCAGGGAUGCAAUUGGGAAUACUCAGAUCUGCUUGAGACCACACCAGGAAUGGCAAAAUGAAUUUAACUUGCCUUUCCAUGCCUGAACCUCUUGGGUCACAUUUUCCAAGGUUUCCCUCAACCUGUAAAAGUAAGAUUAUCACUACUUUCUAAUGGAAUCUGUGAUUCCUCUCCAUGUGAACCACCUAGAAACUCAAACUCUACCAUGGUGUUUGAGGAGACUGGGGGUUGUUGGCCAUUGAGCAAAGCACAUCCAACCAGAUUUGCCCUGGAGAGAUGAGGACAAUCAGGGAAUGCUCCAUUUUAUAUCUCUUCACAGCAGCUCUGAGAAGAUCCUGUGCCUCCUUUCAUUUCCUCAGGACACCUGACUGUGCUUUUCCACCCAUCCACGGAUGUCACCUGGAUGUGUCCAUGAACCAGCUCACUCUUGGACCUUCAAAGCUGGCUCAGCAAGGUCCAAAGGGCCCUGUUCCAGCCACACCCCUGUCAGCUCCCUUUCCUUUCCAAGGAUUAGGAUGAGGCAAAUACCUCCAGUCUGCUUUAAUCCUCAGUACCUGAUUCUGCAGGAGGCACACGCAGCACACACACAUCUCAGUAAUAGCCAGGUGAAGAGCAUAAGGCUGGAAGAAGAGGAAAAAUUAAAAAAAAUAAAAAGAAGAAAAGAAAGAAAAAGAGUCUCCAACCCCAGGAAAUCUGUGUUAAUUGCUUAUGAAUGUCUCUGUCUAAAAAAUUAUCGAAUUGAUGUUGUCGUGCUUUUUUUUGACAGCCUGUCUGUUACAUUUUUUUAAAAUAUUCAUGCACCGAAAUCUAAUUACUAGGCAAAUUUAAUGAUAAUGAAAUGAAGGCACUUUAGCAGAAAGCACAGGGCCUUGUUAAUGU